RNAcentral lists this long non-coding RNA (804 nucleotides) under Ovis aries (sheep). Its description in RNAcentral is "lncRNA (ENSOARG00000025509.1)". The record is from RNAcentral. Lineage: Eukaryota; Metazoa; Chordata; Mammalia; Artiodactyla; Bovidae.
CUUUUGUUCCAUGUCGUUUGGAGAGUGAGUACUAACGGAGACUGGGGGUAGGAGCUGAAGCCCCCAGAGCCACCCCUUAACACUGACCCUGCUUGGCUUGGGUUUAGUUGCACCACAAGGACUGAGUGAGUGAGAACACAGCCCCCCUGGCUGCAGUGAAUGAGGAAUGUUGCAACAACAUCUGGAGCCGCCCCCAGCGGAAGACUGCAGAGAGGCGGUGGCAGCGAUGACAGCUCAGAACGCAGCCCCCUCGCCGUGUGGACAUCCACGCAUCCACCAGCGCACAGACUAUGUGCAUGUGGCCAUGUCUACGUGUCCACAUGCGCACAUGAGCAGACAUCUCCGGCUCCAUCCAGACUCAGCCAUGCAGCCAGGCGGGAAGCAGGCAGCCAGAGAGAACAGAGCUCCCCAGACCAGAAGUGGGCGUCCGCCCAAUGGUGCAGCGUGGUCACAGAGGCCAGAAGGCACAGGGGCAAGUCUGUGUCCCUGAGGCCCCUCGCCCCUCACCUGGCAGCAGGCGGAGGAUCUUCAGAACCAAUGGACAAUGGGGAAACCUCGCAUUUUAUUCCCUCUGUGCCCCUGCAUCUUCUGCGGGUCUCCUUGAGGGCUCCUCGCCUGGACCCUCUCCCUGCACACAGGUGUGUGUCACUGAUCAGCUUUAUCCUUUCUCUCACCCAUCCUUUCCCAGGCAGAGUGUCCGCAUCUCUCUCUCUCACACACACUCACAGUGCACAGGGCUUGGUCUCCAUCCUACUCACACUCCUUGUGAAACACUCUGGCACACAUUUCCCUGGGUCUCCAUGA